UACGUAGGGGGCAAGCGUUGUCCGGAUUUAUUGGGCGUAAAGAGCGUGUAGGCGGCUUUGCAGGUCCGCUGUGAAAACUCGAGGCUCAACCUCGAGCUGUCGGUGGAAACCGUGAAGCUAGAGUCCGGAAGAGGAGAGUGGAAUUCCCGGUGUAGCGGUGAAAUGCGCAGAUAUCGGGAAGAACACCCGUGGCGAAGGCGGCUCUCUGGGACGGUACUGACGCUGAGACGCGAAAGCGUGGGGAGCGAACAGG
This 253-nucleotide ribosomal RNA is filed under the name uncultured bacterium. RNAcentral describes it as "partial 16S ribosomal RNA". It matches the Rfam family "Bacterial small subunit ribosomal RNA", at positions 524 to 776 of the family's 1533-position model. The record is from RNAcentral.